CUGGCUCAGGACGAACGCUGGCGGGCGCGCCUAACACAUGCAAGUUCGAACGAAGCGAGAGAGAGCUUUGCUUUCUCAAGCGAGUGGGCGAACGGGUGAGUAACGCGUGAAGGAACCUGCCUCAAAGAGGGGGACAACAGUUGGAAACGACUGCUAAUACCGCAUAAAGCCCACGGGUCGGCAUCGACCAGAGGGAAAAGGAGCAAUCCGCUUUGAGAUGGCCUCGCGUCCGAUUAGCUAGUUGGUGAGGUAAUGGCCCACCAAGGCAACGAUCGGUAGCCGGACUGAGAGGUUGAACGGCCACAUUGGGACUGAGACACGGCCCAGACUCCUACGGGAGGCAGCAGUGGGGAAUAUUGCACAAUGGGGGAAACCCUGAUGCAGCGACGCCGCGUGGAGGAAGAAGGUCUUCGGAUUGUAAACUCCUGUUGUUGAGGAAGAUAAUGACGGUACUCAACAAGGAAGUGACGGCUAACUACGUGCCAGCAGCCGCGGUAAAACGUAGGUCACAAGCGUUGUCCGGAAUUACUGGGUGUAAAGGGAGCGCAGGCGGGAAGACAAGUUGGAAGUGAAAUCUAUGGGCUCAACCCAUAAACUGCUUUCAAAACUGUUUUUCUUGAGUAGUGCAGAGGUAGGCGGAAUUCCCGGUGUAGCGGUGGAAUGCGUAGAUAUCGGGAGGAACACCAGUGGCGAAGGCGGCCUACUGGGCACCAACUGACGCUGAGGCUCGAAAGUGUGGGUAGCAAACAGGAUUAGAUACCCUGGUAGUCCACACCGUAAACGAUGAUUACUAGGUGUUGGAGGAUUGACCCCUUCAGUGCCGCAGUUAACACAAUAAGUAAUCCACCUGGGGAGUACGACCGCAAGGUUGAAACUCAAAGGAAUUGACGGGGGCCCGCACAAGCAGUGGAGUAUGUGGUUUAAUUCGACGCAACGCGAAGAACCUUACCAAGUCUUGACAUCCCUUGACGAACAUAGAAAUAUGUUUUCUCUUCGGAGCAAGGAGACAGGUGGUGCAUGGUUGUCGUCAGCUCGUGUCGUGAGAUGUUGGGUUAAGUCCCGCAACGAGCGCAACCCCUAUUCUUAGUAGCCAGCGGGUAAGCCGGGCACUCUAGAGAGACUGCCAGGGAUAACUUGGAGGAAGGCGGGGAUGACGUCAAAUCAUCAUGCCCCUUAUGACCAGGGCUACACACGUGCUACAAUGGCGUAAACAAAGAGAAGCAAACCUGCGAGGGCAAGCAAAUCUCAAAAAUAACGUCUCAGUUCGGAUUGUAGUCUGCAACUCGACUACAUGAAGCUGGAAUCGCUAGUAAUCGCAGAUCAGAAUGCUGCGGUGAAUACGUUCCCGGGUCUUGCACUCACCGCCCGUCA
RNAcentral lists this ribosomal RNA (1371 nucleotides) under uncultured bacterium. RNAcentral describes it as "bacterial SSU rRNA". It matches the Rfam family "Bacterial small subunit ribosomal RNA". The record is from RNAcentral.